RNAcentral lists this unclassified non-coding RNA (620 nucleotides) under Hevea brasiliensis (rubber tree). The record is from RNAcentral. Lineage: Eukaryota; Viridiplantae; Streptophyta; Magnoliopsida; Malpighiales; Euphorbiaceae.
GGCUCAUAAAAAUGUUUGGAUUUGGCAAAGGGCAACCUAAUUUGCGCUAUCUUUGUGUGAAAACCCAUUGACCAACCAACAAAUUUAAUGCCUAACAAUGGCCUACACAAAAGCCAUUUUAGGCCACACACAAACAAUGGCCUAUUGAUGAAAUUCAACAUAUAAUUAAGUCACCGUAUUAAUGACCCCGUUGUUAAUGGUUUUCUUCUCUCUCCUAGCUAAUUCCAUUCUUUGGCAUCUACUCUCGUGCUAGUUUCAGCCUCAUCCAUCUUCAAUUUCUUUCUACGAAGGAAUUCAACAAGACCUUGGAAAGAAGCUCCCACAUCACUAUUCUUCUUCAGCUCUCCUAAGACUUCUUCCCGGCUCACUUCAGCGUCCUCUAGGAGCCCUUCAAUCUCUCGAAAAAUCUCGUUAUGUUGAAUUUCAAGAUAAUGGAAGGCUAAUUGCUUGAAUGUGGAGAUGCUACAAUACGGCAUGUGGAUGUUCAUGUCGAUACGACCAGGCCUUAAUAGAGCUGGACUAACCGUUUCUUUGUGAGUCGCAGUGAAAAUUAUGAUACGUUCAUUGCCACAGCAUGACCAAAGUCCAUCCGUGCAAUGGAGUAGCAUUUCCUGUUAAAC